UACGAAGGGGGCUAGCGUUGUUCGGAAUUACUGGGCGUAAAGCGCGUGUAGGCGGUUGUCCAAGUUGGAUGUGAAAGCCUUGAGCUUAACUCAAGAAAUGCAUUCAGGACUGGAUGACUAGAGGACCGGAGAGGAUAGUGGAAUUCCCAGUGUAGUGGUGAAAUACGUAGAGAUUGGGAAGAACACCAGUGGCGAAGGCGGCUAUCUGGACGGUUUCUGACGCUAAGACGCGAAAGCGUGGGGAGCAAACAGG
Molecule: ribosomal RNA, 253 nt
Filed under: uncultured bacterium
Lineage: Bacteria
Description: partial 16S ribosomal RNA
Rfam family: Bacterial small subunit ribosomal RNA
Source: RNAcentral